Molecule: non-coding RNA, 874 nt
Filed under: Pongo abelii (Sumatran orangutan)
Lineage: Eukaryota; Metazoa; Chordata; Mammalia; Primates; Hominidae
Source: RNAcentral
CGGGGGGGAGGGGUGGCGAGGCGAGGCCUACGGAGCGGAGGAAGACACUUAAAGAUGAAGUGCUUAAUUCAAGGUCACAGAAUGUCGGGGAUGGACCUCCAGAUUUCCUUACUGUACUUAUCCUGUAUUACAUGAGGGAAAUGAAAUAAAAAGACUGCAACCCUCCUCCCAGCUACUCUAGUGAGGUGGUAGCUAGAGACAGAGUCUUCUUGCUAUGUUGCCCAGGCUGGUCUUGAACUCCUAACCUCAAGCGAUCCUCCCAUCUUGGCCUCCCAGGUGUCAGGAUUACAGGCAUGUGCUAUCACACCCAACCUGAUACAUUGCCUUUAUAAAUUUUUUUUUCUUUAUUCUAAAAAACAGAAAAAACAAAACUGGAUACAUGUGCAGAACAUGCAGGUUUGUUACAUAGCUGUACGUGUGCCAUGGUGGUUUGCUGCACCUAUUGACCUAUCCUGUGAGACGUGGUCUUGUAACACAGUGGUUAAGAAUGUGACUUUGGAGCCAGCCUGCUAGGGGCUGAAUUCUGACUCAGCCAUUUAUUAACUGUGUGACCUUAGAUGGAGUCUCACUCUGUAGCCCAAGCUGGAGUGGCGUGAUCUCGACUCACUGCAACCUCCGCCUCCUGGGCUCAAGUGAUUCUCGUGCCUCAGCCUCCUGAGUAGCUGGGACUACAGGUCAUAGAAUUUUCCACACUCCUUGACGGAGGUUCUUAACCCUUAUCCAUCAGCAUUCUCAGACAGCACCUCCGGUUAGGGACAGUAUCUGACCGUCCGACAUCCCUGCAGCCCCCAUGCUGUCACACAGACUCAGCCUCAGGUAGAUGGUUUCCGUAGAUGGUGGCUUUCUUUGGACCCUUGAUAUCAACCAGUUACUA